UAUAAACCUCGCGCAGCGCAGGGCAUGCAUCGUCUAGAGCCAUCCUCUUCUUCUAGUCUUUUUCCUCGUGCUGCUGGGCAGGGCUGUUGCUCCAUCCUUCCACGACCGCCGGCGCUGCUCUGCCUCGCCGUACCGCUUUCCCGACGAGGCGUCCCGGCCGGAUCGCUCACAUGGGGGUGGCGAUGAAACUGCUUGCACGAGUGAGUCCCCAACGUUUUGGCCAAAAAUAAAUAAAUAAAUAAAAAUAAAUUAAAGAACAGAACGGAGGACUUGUUGCAUUCGUAUUUCUUUCUGCGCUUGUUCACAGUCCCACGGGUUUUGUUCUCUUGCUAGCACUACCGCCCGGCGGGUCUCGCCGUCCACGUCCUCAUCACCGUCUUCUUCCUCGAACCACCACCCUCUUGUGCUGCGCGCCUGCGCCUGCGCUGUGCUCGCUCGCGCACUAACCGCGCGGGAGCAGUAAGUAGUAAUAACCCAGCUGUACCCGUAAUUCUCGCCGGAGGAGAACAGGACAGGAUCCAUCACGGACGAGGGUUGCUUUCGCCGCGCCGCGCCGGAAGGCAACAAUCGGGGACGACGAUCGGAUCGUCACGGAGGGAAACAGGAUAUUAUCGGGCGGGAGGGGGUGGCUGUGGCCUGUGGCUCGCAUCGAAGGU
Molecule: long non-coding RNA, 656 nt
Filed under: Zea mays
Lineage: Eukaryota; Viridiplantae; Streptophyta; Magnoliopsida; Poales; Poaceae
Description: long non-coding RNA (ZMAY_LNC000129)
Source: RNAcentral